RNAcentral lists this unclassified non-coding RNA (261 nucleotides) under uncultured fungus. RNAcentral describes it as "partial contains 5.8S ribosomal RNA, internal transcribed spacer 2, and large subunit ribosomal RNA". The record is from RNAcentral. Lineage: Eukaryota; Fungi.
AACGCACAUUGCGCCCCCUGGCAUUCCGGGGGGCAUGCCUGUCCGAGCGUCAUUUCUGCCCUCAAGCGCGGCUUGUGUGUUGGGUGUGGUCCCCCCGGUGUUGGGGGGACCUGCCCGAAAGGCAGCGGCGACGUCCCGUCUAGGUCCUCGAGCGUAUGGGGCUUUGUCACCCGCUCGGGAGGGGCCUGCGGGCGUUGGCCACCCACGAUAUUUUUUUUACCGUUGACCUCGGAUCAGGUAGGAGUUACCCGCUGAACUUAA